UAAGCAGGACAGACGAUCGCGGCCGUACGAAAGUACGGGUGAGGAAAGUCCGGGCUUCAUAGGGCAGGAUGCCGGAUAACGUCCGGUGGAGGUGACUCCCAGGCCAGUGCAACAGAAAUAUACCGCCGGUGCUCGCACCGGUAAGGGUGGAAAGGCAGUGUAAGAGACUACCGUCCGUCUGGUAACAGGCGGAGCCAUGUAAACCCCAUCCGAAGCAAGACCAAGCAGGGAGCGACAGGCUUGCCCGGCCUGCUCCCAGGUGGGUCGCUUGAUGCGGCUGGUAACAGUCGUACUAGAUAGAUGAUCGUCCAACGACAUAACCCGGCUUAUCGUUCUGCUUACACU
RNAcentral lists this RNase P RNA (345 nucleotides) under Lachnospiraceae bacterium. RNAcentral's name for it is "RNase P RNA component class A". It matches the Rfam family "Bacterial RNase P class A". From Rfam's summary of the family: Ribonuclease P (RNase P) is a ubiquitous endoribonuclease, found in archaea, bacteria and eukarya as well as chloroplasts and mitochondria. Its best characterised activity is the generation of mature 5'-ends of tRNAs by cleaving the 5'-leader elements of precursor-tRNAs. Lineage: Bacteria; Bacillati; Bacillota; Clostridia; Lachnospirales; Lachnospiraceae. The record is from RNAcentral.